This 497-nucleotide ribosomal RNA is filed under the name uncultured bacterium. RNAcentral describes it as "partial 16S ribosomal RNA". It matches the Rfam family "Bacterial small subunit ribosomal RNA", at positions 28 to 507 of the family's 1533-position model. The record is from RNAcentral.
GAUGAACGCUGGCGGCGUGCCUAAUACAUGCAAGUCGAGCGAACGGACGAGAAGCUUGCUUCUCUGAUGUUAGCGGCGGACGGGUGAGUAACACGUGGAUAAUCUACCUAUAAGACUGGGAUAACUUCGGGAAACCGGAGCUAAUACCGGAUAAUAUUUUGAACCGCAUGGUUCAAAAGUGAAAGACGGUCUUGCUGUCACUUAUAGAUGGAUCCGCGCUGCAUUAGCUAGUUGGUAAGGUAACGGCUUACCAAGGCAACGAUGCAUAGCCGACCUGAGAGGGUGAUGGGCCACACUGGAACGGAGACCCGGCCCAGCUUCCUACGGGAGGCAGCAGUAGGGAAUCUUCGGCAAUGGGCGAAGGCUUGACGGAGAAACGCCGCGGGAUUAAUGAAGGUUUUCGGAUCGUAAAACUCUGUUAUUGGGAAAGAACAAAUGUGUAAGUAACUGUGCACAUCUUGACGGUACCUAAUCAGAAAGCCACGGCUAACUACGUG